UACGUAGGUGGCAAGCGUUGUCCGGAUUUACUGGGCGUAAAGAGCGUGCAGGCGGUCGGUCAAGUCGCGUGUGAAAGCCCCCGGCUCAACUGGGGAGGGUCACGCGAUACUGAUCGACUCGAAGGCAGGAGAGGGAAGUGGAAUUCCCGGUGUAGUGGUGAAAUGCGUAGAUAUCGGGAGGAACACCAGUGGCGAAGGCGACUUCCUGGCCUGUUCUUGACGCUGAGGCGCGAAAGCUAGGGGAGCAAACGGG
RNAcentral lists this ribosomal RNA (253 nucleotides) under uncultured bacterium. RNAcentral describes it as "partial 16S ribosomal RNA". It matches the Rfam family "Bacterial small subunit ribosomal RNA", at positions 524 to 776 of the family's 1533-position model. The record is from RNAcentral.